This 460-nucleotide ribosomal RNA is filed under the name uncultured bacterium. Its description in RNAcentral is "partial 16S ribosomal RNA". It matches the Rfam family "Bacterial small subunit ribosomal RNA", at positions 338 to 795 of the family's 1533-position model. The record is from RNAcentral.
CCUACGGGAGGCUGCAGUGAGGAAUAUUGGUCAAUGGCCGGAAGGCUGAACCAGCCAUGCCGCGUGAAGGUCAGUGCCCUAUGGGCGUUAAACUUCUGUUGUGCGGGAGCAAUAAUGGUCACGUGUGGCCAGACGAGAGUACCGUACGAAUAAACAUCGGCUAACUCCGUGCCAGCAGCCGCGGUAAUACGGGGGAUGCAAGCGUUGUCCGGAUUUAUUGGGGUUAAAGGGUGCGUAGGCUGUGAGGUAAGUCAGCGGUGAAAUGCCCUCGCUCAACGGGGUGAAGUGCCAUUGAUACUGCCUUGCUGGAAUGCGGAUGCCGUGGGAGGAAUGUGUGGUGUAGCGGUGAAAUGCAUAGAUAUCACACAGAACACCGAUUGCGAAGGCAUCUCACGAAUCCGCGAUUGACGCUGAUGCACGAAAGCGUGGGUAUCAAACAGGAUUAGAUACCCGAGUAGUC